UUUUCAGUUUUCUGUUAAUCUUAGAGUACUAUCCAUGUUUGGGGGAUGGUGAAAACUGACCAAGUAAGAACAACAACAGCAAUAACAAAAAUUUGGAUAUGCUUGCACGUUAAGAGGAGUCACAUCAACGAAUAAUAUCAUUUCCAGGAACUUUUUUGUUUGUUUUCGUGAACCGCAUCUGACAAAGAAGACCCGACACCUGUGGGUGCACGUGGUCCAGCAUGUGGAUUCAAGCAACUACUUACGUAACAUCACGUGAGAUCCAGCUGCUUGGAAACGUUACAAAGGGAACACCUAUGAAAAUCCUCGAGAGCAAGAACGUUAUGCAAAACAUGCUUGGUAAUAAUAACACAGAAGCGAAACGUUGAA
Limulus polyphemus (Atlantic horseshoe crab) is the source of this 369-nucleotide long non-coding RNA. RefSeq lists it as uncharacterized. The transcript has 3 exons. Lineage: Eukaryota; Metazoa; Arthropoda; Merostomata; Xiphosura; Limulidae. The record is from RefSeq and is a predicted model, not a curated record.